RNAcentral lists this ribosomal RNA (410 nucleotides) under uncultured Glomeromycotina. RNAcentral's name for it is "SSU rRNA". It matches the Rfam family "Eukaryotic small subunit ribosomal RNA", at positions 569 to 977 of the family's 1831-position model. Lineage: Eukaryota; Fungi; Glomeromycota. The record is from RNAcentral.
AACAGCCGCGGUAAUUCCAGCUCCAAUAGCGUAUAUUAAAGUUGUUGCAGUUAAAAAGCUCGUAGUUGAAUUUCGGGAUUGACGUGAUGGUCAUGCCUUAAGGGGUAUGAACUGUUACAGUUGAUUUCUCACCUUCUGGAGAAACUUGAUGUCCUUUAUUGGGUGUCUUGCGGAUCCAGGACCUUUACCUUGAAAAAAUUAGAGUGUUUAAAGCAGGCAUUUUUGCUCGAAUACAUUAGCAUGGAAUAAUAGAAUAGGACGGCAUGGUUCUAUUUUGUUGGUUCUAGGAUCACCGUAAUGAUUAAUAGGGAUAGUUGGGGGCAUUAGUAUUCAAUUGUCAGAGGUGAAAUUCUUGGAUUUAUUGAAGACUAACUACUGCGAAAGCAUUUGCCAAGGAUGUUUUCAUUAAU